This 2160-nucleotide long non-coding RNA is filed under the name Theobroma cacao (cacao). RNAcentral describes it as "long non-coding RNA (TCAC_LNC005019)". The record is from RNAcentral. Lineage: Eukaryota; Viridiplantae; Streptophyta; Magnoliopsida; Malvales; Malvaceae.
GAAAAGAAAGAAAAAAAAAUCAGCUUCUGGAGGGCCUCUGAACGGCACCAUUCUAAGGAAGGAGAAGUUGUUUUUGUUGAAGCAGAUCAGUGGGCGUUUGCUGGUCUCGUCAAUCAAGGUAUAUUCUUAGCUUUUCUUUUGAUCUGGUUUUGUGGCGGUGCUUAGUUGAAUGUUUAGAUAGAAGAAUAAUUAAUUUAGCUUAAUUAGAAUAAAAGAUAUAAUAUAAAAAAUAUUUUAAAUGACAAAGGAAAACAUAUAAAGGAAGCAAAAAUAUAAAAGAAAGAAAAUGAUGAAAAUAAACUGUUUAACAAUAUAUAUGCAAAAAUGGAAAAUAGAAAAAAAAUGAAUGAAUAUAUUUGAUUAUGUUAAUUUAUAUAGGUAACAUAGGAAUGAAUUAUAAAAAAUAAUAAAUAAAUAAAAUGAAAUAAAUAGAAUUAUCAUUUGUGGAUGGUAAACUUGUUUAAAGAAAUAGUUUUAUAAAAAUAGAGAGAUGAUGAAAAUGGAUUAAAAUGAACUCAAUACCGAUGAUGGGAUGAUUGGUCAGGACGCGAGGAGUCGCAAUCUCGAGCUAAUUUUUUCUAGGUUCGGAAUCCGAAUUAAAGCUCCACCAGUACGAUGGGAGGGCCUCGACAUUGAGAUUCUGAAAUUUUUUUUUAAAUAAAUAAAAAUUUUUAUUACAUUAAAAUUAAUAAAAAUUAAAAAUUAAAAUAUGUAAAAAUAGAUACUAUAUUUAAUUUGUUCAAAAAAUAAAAUAAUAAUAAUAAUUAAUUAAUUUCACAAGCAUAACAUAUAUUUCUAUUGCAUCAUGCAUACCAUGGCAUAUAGGUAUUUUUGCUCACGAGUUAAACCCCGAUGAUGGGAUUUAUUCGUCGAAUUUGCAAAGGCGAAUUUCUUGGAUAAUUCCCUAAGUGAGAGAACAUCCCAAAUCCCACCAGCAUGAUGGGCGGAUUCGAGAAAUAUUCUCAAUAAAAGGUGUUUGUUUGGCAUUGUCUCGAUAUUAUGCCAUGCAUUACACAAUUGCAUCACAUGCACGUCAAACUCGUAAAAUUAAAUAAAAUAUUUUAAUAAAUAAUAAUUAAGGGAACAUAAAAACAAAUCAAUGGGCUAGGAUAACGCAUGAUUAAAUGGUACCAUUCGAGGAACGGGCGUUAUAGGGGUGUUAAUCCUUUCCUAUGCGUAACUGUACUCCCGAACCCAAUUUUAAACAAUAGCACGUAGACCAGUUUAUCGUUCUUUCGACAAACUUAAAAUUAAUUUAAAAUCUCGUUGAAUAGAAGAAAUUCAUUAGGUGGCCAAUCACACCUAACAAAAAAAAAAGGAUUAGUGGCAACUCCCAAAUCACUCGACAUCUAGCGGUCGGGUUCCCGGACCCGCACGUUACAACAGGUAGUUUAGCUACAUGUAAUGGCUUUGUAGACCACUGAGAACUAAGACACUGGUGUUCUAAAAAGUGGUCAAUUACUUCCCAUCACUUAGUAUUUUAUGUUUUUUUUUCUUUUAUAACUAUAUACUUUAUAUUUGCUUAAUGAAAAGCGUGUUGUGGCUUUACAUGUCUUCAUGCAAUUGUUCAUAUCUUUCACGUGUUUUGGCUUUUAUUAACUCGGUGUUCCUUGUUCAAUUUGUUAACUCACUAAGUUCAUAUCUUUUUCAUUUUUUGAACAACCAUCCUUGAUAGCAAGAAUAUCAAUGAAGUUGGAAUCCUCAAUGCCAAUGGGGGAAGAAAAUGCCCCUUUAAUGAAUCCAUCAUGGUCUCUAAUGACACCCUUGAUGCCAGCAAGAGCUGGAUUCCCCAAAGCAAAGCCACAUCGAGUUUGAGAGAUCCAUUGAGGGGUCUCAUCCAUUUGUUUGAAGGUUUAACUUUGCACUUUCUUUUCUUAAAGGUAUUUUACUAGGUUCAAAGAGAAAGUGAGUUGCAAAAAUGUGAUUGAGAGGCCAUUUGCCCUUACACUAGUGAGAUAAUCUAACAAGGAUGAUAUCCUGUAAUUGGCUUGAAUCAAGACUUUUGCCUUGAAAAAGAAUAUCAUUCCCAAUUAUAUGAAUCACAAGUGUAGGAUUUAUUUAUCACUUCUCUAAUACUCCCCCUCAUGUGUAAAGACAACAAAUUUAUCACGCGAUAUGAAUCACAGAGAGAUUCAUGAAAGGGCAAACGAAUGAGGAUAA